This 223-nucleotide ribosomal RNA is filed under the name uncultured bacterium. Its description in RNAcentral is "partial 16S ribosomal RNA". It matches the Rfam family "Bacterial small subunit ribosomal RNA", at positions 111 to 334 of the family's 1533-position model. The record is from RNAcentral.
UAACGCGUGGAUAACCUGCCUCACACAGGGGAGAACAAGUUAGAAAUGACUGCUAAUACCGCAUAAGCGCACGGCAUCGCAUGAUGCAGUGUGAAAAACUCCGGUGGUGUGAGAUGGAUCCGCGUCUGAUUAGGUAGUUGGUGGGGUAACGGCCUACCAAGCCGACGAUCAGUAGCCGACCUGAGAGGGUGACCGGCCACAUUGGGACUGAGACACGGCCCAA